This is a long non-coding RNA of Sphaeramia orbicularis (orbiculate cardinalfish), 143 nucleotides long. RefSeq lists it as uncharacterized. The transcript has 3 exons. Lineage: Eukaryota; Metazoa; Chordata; Actinopteri; Kurtiformes; Apogonidae. The record is from RefSeq and is a predicted model, not a curated record.
UUAUCCUCAUCAAAUUAGGAAAAGUCAUGAAAUAUGAAGAAAAAAAAGUCAACUAUUAUUUUUGAAUGAUAAACAUUGAAUGGGGUCAAAUUGACCCUGAGGAUAAUACGAGGGUUAAGUAAUGUAUUUAUCCAGAAAAAUCC